UCAAAGUGAUCUGCUUUGAGUUCUAAAAAUUAUUGCGAAUAUACAAUAUGGAGGUAAAUAUGCUAAAAAUUACAACUUCUUGUGGUUUGAAUAUUUAAUUUCAAUUACUGAGUUGAAUCGUUGGUUUGUAUCACUUAACUUUUUUUUGGUUUAAACCAUACUUCAUUCAUUGCAAUCAAAAUAAGACAAGAAUUACUCCACAUGGGAGAGUUCAUACAAGAGCGGAGG
RNAcentral lists this long non-coding RNA (228 nucleotides) under Brassica rapa (field mustard). RNAcentral describes it as "long non-coding RNA (BRAP_LNC005753)". The record is from RNAcentral. Lineage: Eukaryota; Viridiplantae; Streptophyta; Magnoliopsida; Brassicales; Brassicaceae.